AGCAGGCUGCAUCGCCUUUGUGCGGAGGCAGGCGGAGGAGCUGACACCGGCCAAGAGCAGAACCAGUAGGAGUGAGUUGGAGAAGCGAGGUUUACAAAUUUUUCUAAGGAGGACUGUUGAUUGGAACAAAAAGGAGAUUGUGAGCCAGGUGAUUUCAACUGGAGUGAUGGCGAUCAAUUGAUCAGUAGGAGAACUGAAAGAUCAGAGGAAACUGAAAGACAAAGUUCAAGCGCAGGAUGUCCCCGCCAAACCUGGACGCUUGUCACCGGGAGUCAAGGCAGCUGAAGGCCGCGGGGCCGAGGGUGUGCCCAGCUCCCGGAGAGAAUGAGAGCAGAAUUAUUUGAAUCGUAAGCUCGGGGCCAGAAGAACCACGAGAGUAACUCUGAACAGAUGAAAACUGACCAUCUUGGACAAUGGAACGAAGAAGCAGCCAGAGAGGCGCCAGAAUUUAGCGCGUGCAACUGCGGUGCAGAUGCCGCAGGCAAGGCCUUCCCAGAGAGUCAUCUUGCAGAUAGCUGUCCUAGGUCCCCGUGGUGGCAACUUACUAAAGUCACUGUCGAAGGCUUGCCUCUUCUCCUGGGGGGGGGGGGGCAGGGGAGGGGACGCUCCGCGAGCAGAAUUCCAACUCCCAGAAGAGAGCCAAAAGUCAAGACAAGUAGCCCCACGAGGAAUACGCUUCAGAGAGCCUUUCUUCUUUCCUCUUUUCUUUUCCAAACGAAAUCUAAUACUAUCUGGCUGCAAAAAUAUAUAUCACCGGCUCUGAGUCUGAAAGAUUAACAUUGGGAUACGUAGGAAAUGUAAUCUGCAUGGCUAAUUGAUUCUCAGCGUAUCAGUUUAAAGGAUAAAGAUCGAUAUCUGCAUAUGAUGGAUACUGUAUUAAUAGGGACAUAAAUAAAGGCCGAAGAGUCGUUACUGGAA
RNAcentral lists this long non-coding RNA (918 nucleotides) under Mus musculus (house mouse). Its description in RNAcentral is "predicted gene, 33152, transcript variant 3 (Gm33152)". Lineage: Eukaryota; Metazoa; Chordata; Mammalia; Rodentia; Muridae. The record is from RNAcentral.